Molecule: transfer RNA, 56 nt
Filed under: Muntiacus reevesi (Reeves' muntjac)
Lineage: Eukaryota; Metazoa; Chordata; Mammalia; Artiodactyla; Cervidae
Also listed under: 3 other names
Rfam family: tRNA
About the family: Transfer RNA (tRNA) molecules are approximately 80 nucleotides in length. Their secondary structure includes four short double-helical elements and three loops (D, anti-codon, and T loops). Further hydrogen bonds mediate the characteristic L-shaped molecular structure. tRNAs have two regions of fundamental functional importance: the anti-codon, which is responsible for specific mRNA codon recognition, and the 3' end, to which the tRNAs corresponding amino acid is attached (by aminoacyl-tRNA synthetases). tRNAs cope with the degeneracy of the genetic code in two manners: having more than one tRNA (with a specific anti-codon) for a particular amino acid; and 'wobble' base-pairing, i.e. permitting non-standard base-pairing at the 3rd anti-codon position.
Source: Rfam by way of RNAcentral
UAGCUCAGAUGGUAAAGCAUCUGCCUGCAAUGCAGGAGACCUGGGUUUGAUCCCUG